GUGCAGCAGGCGAGAAACCUUUGCAAUGCGCGAAAGCGUGACAAGGUGACUCCGAGUGCUCAUGCGUAAGCAUGAGCUUUUCCCGAGUGUAAACAGCUCGGGGGAAUAAGGGCCGGGCAAUACCCGUGCCAGCCGCCGCGGUAAUACGGGAGGCCCGAGUGGUGCCCGCGAUUACUGGGCUUAAAGCGUCCGUAGCCGGUCCGGUAAGUCCUUGG
RNAcentral lists this ribosomal RNA (215 nucleotides) under uncultured microorganism. Its description in RNAcentral is "partial 16S ribosomal RNA". It matches the Rfam family "Archaeal small subunit ribosomal RNA", at positions 330 to 544 of the family's 1478-position model. The record is from RNAcentral.